AGUCCUAAGUGGGUGGUAAACUCCAUCUAAGGCUAAAUAUGACCACGAGACCGAUAGCGAACAAGUACCGUGAGGGAAAGUUGAAAAGCACUUUGAAGAGAGAGUUCAAGAGUACGUGAAACCGUUUAGGGGUAAACCUGAGAAACCCGAAAGGUCGAAGGGAGAAAUUCAUUCGCGUUUCGAGGUCGGCGCGUGACGGUCGAUCGUGACGGCUUACACUCGUGUCGGCCGCACCUUCCGUUUCGCGAUCCGACGACGAACGUGUGCACUUUUCUCCUGGUAGGACGUCGCGAUCCGUUGAAUGUCGAUCUACGGCCCGCGGUGGAGCCCGUACGUACGGCGUCAAAAACCGUCUCACGUUCGGACCCGCGUGCGUCCCGGUCGACUCGUUCGACGGUAUACCAAAGGUUUAAGGCCGCUUUUGAUAUAUAAGCGUUCGACUCGCGGCAAGCGCUCCGGAUGCGUCGGCGAUCGGACCCGGUGCCGAUUCUGACCUCCGGUGACUGUUGGCCGCGAUGCUCUCGAACAGACCUUUUAACCGAUCUGCGACGCUAUAGCUUUGGGUACUUUCAG
Molecule: ribosomal RNA, 573 nt
Filed under: Pseudoalaocybites sp.
Lineage: Eukaryota; Metazoa; Arthropoda; Insecta; Coleoptera; Curculionidae
Description: partial 28S ribosomal RNA
Rfam family: Eukaryotic large subunit ribosomal RNA
Source: RNAcentral